GCCUCAGAAUUCGGGGUGGCACGGUUCACAAAACCCAAGGUUCGGUUCGUAUCAUGGUUUUAGGGGCACUAUUUUUGGUUCUUGUUAUUUUUUUUCUAUUAAUCUUUAAAACUCCAGAAAUAUACUUAAUAGCUU
Molecule: long non-coding RNA, 135 nt
Organism: Etheostoma cragini (Arkansas darter)
Lineage: Eukaryota; Metazoa; Chordata; Actinopteri; Perciformes; Percidae
Exons: 3
Source: RefSeq, a predicted model, not a curated record